RNA transcript from Sapajus apella (tufted capuchin), 4363 nucleotides. RefSeq lists it as uncharacterized. The transcript has 2 exons. NCBI's taxonomy places the organism in Eukaryota, Metazoa, Chordata, Mammalia, Primates, Cebidae. The record is from RefSeq and is a predicted model, not a curated record.
CUGCCAGAAGAAACGUGUGGACCCUCCAGCAUGGCACUCAGAGUCAUGAUAUGUCUGAAGAAACUGUCCAAGCCAUUAACACGAAAUUGAACCUUUGGAAUGUAACCUUGGAAGUGAAUCUGGAGAGAGUAUAGGUACCUGAAUUGAAGGACAAAGAGGUUCCAGAGGCCAUCCUUCCCUUGUUACCUCAAUGUCAUUUUCAUCAAUACCAUCAUCCUUUUUUCAUCACAGCCACACAUCUGUAUCAUUUAAUCAUUUAACAAACAUCGAGCUUAAACUCUGCAGGGCUCUGAGCUAAACUUGGGGACAUUGGCUCAGGAAAUCAUCUCAGAAUCUGAGAUCCUGGCAGCUUCUUUUCUGACACACCACAUGCUCAUGUUCAAGGCCCUUAUCGUGCAGCUCCACUCACCUGUGACCUGCAGCUUUGUCUUUGGCACUUACUGCAUCAUCUCUGUCAACUGUUCCUAUGAGAAAAUUGCCAGAGACAUUGUCAGGUAUGGUGAAAGGGCUUAGGUGUGGCCCCAGGAGGCUCAAGAAGCUACGGGAUGCUCCAGAGGGACCACUACUGUGCCCCUCUCUUGCUUCCGACAACACUGUCCAUCCAAUGAUGAACUGUGAUUUAUUAAGCAUGUUAUGGGAACUUUAAAAUACCUCAUUCAGCAGAAAGGAGGCAGAGGAUUAUAAUCCCCAUUUGACAGACAGGAUACUGAGGCCCAAGUCCUCAUGCUUCUUCAGUCUGGAAAGUGAAGAGAACUUGCACUGUGUGACAAGGGCCAGGCGAAAGAAACAGGAGAGGAGAGAUUCCUGUAGACCUGGGCUGUCAGGGAAGAUCCCUUGGAAAAGGUCAGUGGUUGAAUUGUGCCUUGAGGGAUAGAGAGACUUUUUUUUUUUUUUUUUUUUUGGAAGCAAGAAUAGAGAGGCUUCUGACUGAUCAGCUGGAGUAGGUGGAAUCUUCUAGGUGGACAACAGAAUACAGAGAUAUUGGGGGGGGGUUUGUUUUGGGAAGAGAUAUGCAUGGCACAAUAAAAAUAGUUGGCAUUUAAUGAAGGCAUACAGUGCCACCUGGUAUACUGGGUAAGUGCUUGUGUACCUUGUGUUAGUAAAUCCCCAGCAGUCCAGUCAUGUAGGGCCUUUUUGUUAUUUGCUGUUUUACAGGAGCCUUUAAAGGAAACUAAGUGACUUGUCCAUAGUCAGACAGUUAGUAGGGGCAACCUUAGAAUUUGAGCCCAUGUCUGUGAGACUCUAAAGCUAUCUGGCCUAACUGAUCACUUGUUGACAGAUGGGAACAUAAGUUGGAGAGUGAUAGGCCAUGGGCCUGGAUAGGUGGGCUGCAGCAGGUUGCAGAGGGCCUCCAGUGAGACUGGCCAGUUGGGUUUUAUCACGUGAGUUGAUUCUAAUCAUAGUCACUCACAGAGCUUUACUUUCUCUCCAAAGGCUGUACAUCCUUUUGAAAUCUCAGAGGUCUUUAGGCUCCCUGUGGAUCAAGGAGAUGUGUACUAUUUAAAGUGGCUUGAGGAAAGCAUGGAAGAGGACUGAGUGGGCGAAGCUUUUUGUGCAUGCUGCUGGCUGCCUACAGCCUUCAUCAGCUGCACUCUGGGGAAGAGGGGGCCUCCUUCUACCUCCCAGCAUCUCUGGAUUCCAUGUUCCUGUCAGCGCAGAGGGCCAGUCAGGUCAAGCAAGAACCCAGUGUAACUUGUCUCUGAGUGCUUCAUGGUUAAGGGGGAUCGGGGAUAUGAGGGCACGAGGAUGGUUGUGUGGAGACUGAGGGCAAGAGGCAGUGACGGUAAGACUUGUCAUCUUCUUGAGUCACUAGGCCUACUGAAAUGCCUAGGAUGUAAUUGCUCUGCUGCUUCUCAUGGGGAGGAGUGGCCCCAGUGACCUUGUUCACCUGGAAGAGUGUGGGAUGAAUGCCUCCUCCUAGGGGGACUGGCAAGUGCUUUAUCAAAAAGAUAAAUUGCUAAUGGUGCCAUCUCAUGGAUCAGCAGGAUUAUUUCUCCUUGCUAAAGAGGCUUUUGUGGCUUCUGAAUUCUGACGAUGUGGGACUAGGAAUGGGCUCCAUGAGCUUGUGUAUAAUUCAGGGAAUAUUAGGACUUUGGCACAGCCUCAUGGGUUGGGGGUAAGUCUUGGCUCUUCCCUAGUCGGAAUGACAGACAUCAGGUCAUUCUGGUGCCUUGUCAGUGAAGACGUAGAUUCUGAGCCCACCAAACUAACCUUUUCCCUUGAGCACAGAAGCAGCCCCAGGAAUCAGACCCGUGUCUUUCAGGUUUGCUUCACAGAGCCCCAGAGGUUGACAAAAGGUACCUUGGAGGCUCCCUACAAGGGGAUUUUUUAAAAAGCUUUGUUAAAGAUUUGUAAACCACCCCUCUGAGCCAGUUUUCAUUUUAUAGAUUACUGCAGGAAACUGAACUGCAUGGAGGCCCAGAAAGGGGGUGGUGCAACCUGGGCUGCUCAUCCUCUGUUUCAUGCUCUCGUGUACUUGCUCCAUGGGUUUGUGGCAGAAGAGGGCAGGGAAGGCAGUGGCCUGCCAAGCCGCAUGGACUAAGAAGGGAAAUUUGCCCCAGAAACCCCUCUGAAUCUGUCAUGAGGUAACUCCAUUCUGUGGAGACCAUGGGCAGUUUGGGUGGGGGUCUACAGAUAGCUGUUAUAUCUUGGGUCCAUCCUUGAGGGGAGGGUGUGCAGGAAGGCUAAUGCCAGGCUGUGGUUCUGACAAUUACUGUACUUCUUGGAUCUUUGUGCUCCCAAAUAUCAAAUGGAAGAUCUCUGAGAGUCCUUUGCAAAGAUCUUGUAGGGACUUUAGGCUGAGGCCCUUGGAAUGUUCCAGAGGGUUCCAAUGGAGAUUUUGAGAGACUGCCUCAGAAGAACAAAGAGAAUGAUAGUGGUGAUGUCCCUUGCUUUUUACAACAGAUCAUGUUCUGAUAGAUAUACAAAUCUGUGUAAAGUAGACCCUACCUAAAUGUACUGGGGAUCCAAGACAUACUGCCUGUAUUGCUUCCAGGAGAAAGUCCAAGUUCUAGGUCUGGUUUUUAUAACCUUGCUUCAGCUCACCUUUUCUGUCAUCAUCCCCUGCAUCUCCUCUCUCACUUUGGGAAAUGGAUGGCUCCACUAUACUGUGUGAUGUUAUUCCUGUGUUCCUGCUGUCUCCUCUGCCCGGAAUGCCCUUCUGCCUGAAUGCUUGUGAAAUGUUGCUGCUCCUUUGUAUGGCCUGGCUUCCGUGAUUGGGAGGAAUCUCUUCUGUUGUGGUAUUUCUGUCAUCUUUGUGCAUCACAGUCGGCUUUAUAUUCCUAGGUUGUAAGCUGCUUGAAGAUAGGGGCAUGUCUGAAUCUAUUUAAUCUGUCAUACCUGUUUGGCAAAUUGAUGUCUUAAGUAUUUAAUUAACUAAAGCUCUCUCUACAGUACAUAGUCACUUUUGAUUUAUGGAAUUAGCAAAUUCAACUUUUUUCCUUUAAUAUUCUUAAAGUGAGACUAAUUCCAAAGGAGAUUUUUCUGUCUGUGGCCUUCACUGGGUGGUUUUCUGUUAUCAGAAAACUCCUGGUGGCCUUCCUCUUCCCUGGUGUCAAGUUGACUGUUGUAGGAAACGGGAGGGGAGAGGGCCAUUUCUGCCGGGCAUUGUCCUCGGUUCCUUAACACUAAUCCUUAUAAUGCAUUGUUAUCCUCAUUUUACAGAUGAAACCUGAGAUCAGAGAGCAUGAAACACGUAAAGUAUUUGGCAGAGCUAGGAUGUGAACCCAACUCUGAUUCUAAACCUAAUGCUCUUACUUUUUCUCAGAGGUUCACUGAGUUCUUUGUAGGCCAUAGAUCCAGAGAAGCUGCUGCAGCCAACAGUAAAAUUAUUAGUUCUUAAAACAUCUAUGCGGUAAGUUGGUCUGGCACUUAAAAAUGUAUUGUUUACUACUCACCACAGAUCUUCAGGAGUUCACUGAUCUCUACGGUCUGCCUUAACUCCAACUUAUGUGGUUUGGCCACUAUUACAUACUGUCAUCCCAGAAUGAUGCUGCAGAGGCUGGGGCUAAGACCCAGUCCAGUGUUUCCAUGUGGGAAUUCCCUCCCAGUAUUUCUUAGGAAAUAUAUGUUUUUUGAAUCCAUAAUCACUAGAAAAAUCAGUUGAGGAAAUGAGAAGUAUUAUAGUUAUUCUGUGAAUACUAACACCAUUAUAGAGACAUUACUGGUUUGAAAGAAUCCAGCUUCAUCAAAUAUAACAUACUGAGUUGAAGGCUACAAGAACAGAGACAGGAGCAUAGCCGAGAGAAAUGAUCACCAUCUAAUUAGUCUUACUUUUGGUUGCUGUGAUGUCACUAAGUAUGUAUGUCUGGCCCUAUUGGCUGCUAAUGGUGAGUUCUUGUGAAUAAAAUGAUUUGAUAAACAA